CAGCCGCCGCGGUAAUACGGAGGGUGCAAGCGUUAUCCGGAUUUAUUGGGUUUAAAGGGUCCGUAGGCGGACUUAUAAGUCAGUGGUGAAAGCCUGUCGCUUAACGAUAGAACUGCCAUUGAUACUGUAAGUCUUGAGUAUAUUUGAGGUAGCUGGAAUAAGUAGUGUAGCGGUGAAAUGCAUAGAUAUUACUUAGAACACCAAUUGCGAAGGCAGGUUACCAAGAUAUAACUGACGCUGAGGGACGAAAGCGUGGGUAGCGAACAGGAUUAGAUACCCCUGUAGUCCCUGUCUCUUAUAA
RNAcentral lists this ribosomal RNA (301 nucleotides) under uncultured bacterium. RNAcentral describes it as "partial 16S ribosomal RNA". It matches the Rfam family "Bacterial small subunit ribosomal RNA", at positions 509 to 809 of the family's 1533-position model. The record is from RNAcentral.